AGGGCCGUCGAAGACUACGACGUUGAUAGGUUGGGUGUGUAAGCGCUGUGAGGCGUUGAGCUAACCAAUACUAAUUGCCCGUGAGGCUUGACCAUAUAACACCCAAGCAAUU
Molecule: ribosomal RNA, 112 nt
Filed under: Pseudomonas plecoglossicida
Lineage: Bacteria; Pseudomonadati; Pseudomonadota; Gammaproteobacteria; Pseudomonadales; Pseudomonadaceae
Also listed under: 1 other name
Description: partial 23S ribosomal RNA
Rfam family: Bacterial large subunit ribosomal RNA (bases 1-95)
Source: RNAcentral